UCCAGACUCCUACGGGAGGCAGCAGUGAGGAAUAUUGGUCAAUGGCCGAAGGGCUGAACCAGCCAAGCCGCGUGAAGGAAUAAGGCCCUACGGGUCGUAAACUUCUUUAGUCAGGGAACAAAGGGUGCCACGUGUGGCGCUGUGAGUGUACCUGAAGAAUAAGCAUCGGCUAACUCCGUGCCGGCAGCCGCGGUAAUACGGAGGAUGCGAGCGUUAUCCGGAUUUAUUGGGUUUAAAGGGUGCGUAGGCGGAACAUUAAGUCAGCGGUAAAAUCGAGGGGCUCAACCCCUGUAAGCCGUUGAAACUGGUGAUCUUGAGUGGGCGAGAAGUAUGCGGAAUGCGUGGUGUAGCGGUGAAAUGCAUAGAUAUCACGCAGAACUCCGAUUGCGAAGGCAGCAUACCGGCGCCCGACUGACGCUGAGGCACGAAAGCGUGGGGAUCGAACAGGAUUAGAUACCCGCGUAAC
RNAcentral lists this ribosomal RNA (466 nucleotides) under uncultured bacterium. RNAcentral describes it as "bacterial SSU rRNA". It matches the Rfam family "Bacterial small subunit ribosomal RNA", at positions 330 to 795 of the family's 1533-position model. The record is from RNAcentral.